UGUCAAUGAGAUUCCUUUUGGCAGUAAUAUAUUCUGCGGAUUAAGUUAAACCAAAUGUUUGUAACAAUGGAAAUUUAUUCAUGUUAACAGUUAGGAUUAUCAUCCCAGUGAAUAUUUACUAUAGUUACAGUCAAAUUUACUCUUUUGGACAUUGCUUAUUUUCAUUUCUUUGUUAUAAACUCCACUAAAAGCAAUAGAAAGCAUCCUUUAACAUUUUUAAAGUGCUGCAAUUUAUUUUCUUUUAAACUGGUUUUUUUCUUUUUUUUUUUUUUUUUUUUUUUUUUAGGGGCUACUCUCCCUUUGCCCAUACAGUGAUGGCAGUGAGCAAUAAAAGUUCUGGUUGAGAAAGUUCUGUAAGUUAUUUGGCCACAUUUGAGCUCACCAUGGCUGGAUACUACAUGGCAUUUGUCCUUUGAUUUCAAUCUGUUUCCUGCCACUUGGUUACUUUGUGGUCACGUGGGUGAAAAAGAGGGCCAGUGUUGACUUUAUAGCUUGAGAGCUUAUCUCUCUGUUUCCUGUACCUAGAGAGAGAUGGUGCAGGUACAGAAAAGUCCAUACAUACAUAACCUUCCAUGAAACAAGCCUUCUGCUAGCUUCUGCAGUCACUCUGGCAAUUUGUGGUUGCAGAAUUCAGCAAGACUAAGAACUAGUGCUGUGUAUCACAAGCGCACUUUGUUCUUUAGAGAACUUUGCUCUGAAAUUGUUCUAACUCUAUAUUUUUGUCAGUUGGUAUUUUUGUCAGCUUUUUUAUCUCAGGCUGUAAGUGACACUUUAUCAUGUUUUCAGUCUGUAGAAUGAAAGAAAGAGAAUGAUAGAUAAUUUGCACUUUGGGUUGCUUUGCUGUUUGUUUGUUUGUUUGUUUCAUCACUCUUGGCUAUAUAGACACAAGAGUGACAAGUAUUCCCCCACAAUGAAGAGUGGAGAGGAGCUUCAUGAGUGGCUUCAGAGCACCUAUGACUCAGAUGCCUUGAGAGGGUCCCCACAGAGCCUUGCAUGUAGGUGAGAUGGUUCCUCACUCUUCCCGGCUACCACACCACAGCAAGCUCAGAGAAAACCAAGAGGGAUGGUUGUAACAAUGGAAAUUUGCUCAUGUUAACAGUUGGGAUUUUCAUCCCAGUUAAUAUUGACUGUAGUUACAUUCAAAUUUACUCUUGUGGACACUGUUUGACCAGUGGAGGAGGAAACUCAUUUAUUCCCAAGUCACUCCCAAGCCAUCAAACAAACACCAGCUGCAGAAGAGAGCAGUUGCCCAGUGGCCCCACACCUUCCAGCUAACUGUUCCUUAAGCAUGAACUGAUUGCCCAUCUUCCUAUUACUUGGUGGCUGUUAACCAUAGUUGCAUCUAUAAUUACCUGCAAAGCUCUUUAGAACACUGAUACUAAGGUUCCAAUCCAAACCAACUAAAUCAGAAUCUUUGGGGAAGAGUCAUGAACAUUCCUAUGUGUUAGUAGCUCCCCAGGUGAUUUCCACUUACCAAAGUACCUUCUCUGUACUAAGUCUUUGACCUCAUAGAGAUCUUUGACCCAUUGGCCCUGUUGCUUUUUCACUAAUCAUCACAUCAUCACUCUCAUUUCCUCAUAUCCAGAUUCCCAUGGUCCAUAAUUAUAAUCAUUUCCAUGAUUAUAGAAAUUUCUCCAUUUCUCCCCAUUAUUAUACUUUCCUGGUAAAGUCCCCUAACAGGGUUAAACUCAUUGCCACAGCUACUCUAUACCUGGACCAAAUCUCCUGAACAUUCCCAUGGAAAAACACAUGACCAACCAUGUUAACCACUUAAUUUUAGAUCCAUGUUUUAGAAAAUCCAUGGUUUAGAAACCAUGUUCAAAGGAACCUGAAAUUUUGUCCUUAUGUUAAAAAGUCUUUACAGGUUCCAUGUAUGAAAUAAUAACAAAUCUCAAUUGGACACAUAGCACAGCUCAAAAAUCCUAUUAUGCUUUCAGGUUUUAAAUUUCCCAUACUACAGCUUCUAUUCUCGCUCUCAAAUCUCCUAUAUUCCCUUUCUCUCCCCACCACUCUUGGCUGAUGAUCUGGCCUCAUCAUUGACUGGGAAAAAUACAGAAAUCAGAGGAGAUUCCUUAUACCUCCAAACCUGCAAAACCACCCACAUCUGUAUUCACACUUUUUGCCCUCCCUCCAUUUGCUAUUCAUUAAGCAUCCCUGUUCCUAUGAAAGGCCAGCCCUCCUCUUUGAUCUGGAUCUCUCCUUCUCUUAUCUGUUGGGGACUUCAUUCCUCCCUUCAUAAGCAUACGUUGCUAAUUUCUUCCCAGAACUUACAAAUAAGCAUGUUUUAGUAUCUUCCAUCUUAAAACAAAACAAACCUUUCACAAUUCUACAUCCAUCUUAGCUAUCAUACCAUGUCCUUGCUUCUCUUCACUUUAAAACUUCUUUAAAAAGGCUUGUCUUUAGUCACUCGCCCCACUUCCUCGAUACUCUAGUAAAAACACUAUUAUCAAGGUCAGCCUUAGCUUGCAACCAUCUUUUCUUUGAUAUCUAAAAGGAAUCUCAAGCUUAACAUGUCCACAAACAAUCUCUUUUUUCUAGCACUGCAAAACAAUGUGGGCCUUCCUCAGUCUUCCUAUUUCACUCAAUGGCAGCCUUAUCCACUGAGUUAAGCCUUUUUCUUCUUUAUCUCAUGCCCGAUGUAUAAUCCGUCAAAGUGUUUUGUUGGCCAUUCUUCCAAAAUAUAUCAUGAAUCCAGUCACCUCUCUCCAUUUCUUACCACUCCAAUACAAUCACCAUGAUUCCUCACUUGGACAGUCUCCUCUCUUCCACACCUGUCUCAUGGCAUCCAUUUUCUGUACAGCGGCGUGGGUAGUCUUUUAAAAGCCUAGAUGAGAUCAGUUCAUGUCCAAUAGCUUCCUAUUAUUCUUAGAAUAUAUUUAAACUUUUUCCUGGGUCUGCAUGACCUGACUCUUGCCUACUCCUCCAACCUCAUCUCAGAUCACUCCUACCACCCACUCCCAGUUUGCCCCAGCAUAGAGGGCCCCUGGAUGGUCCAAAAUCACUCCGUACUCAGACAAAACUCAAACCCUUUAGCUCAGCUUGUUCUACCUAAAAUUCUUGCACCCCAGACCUUCUUUUGGCCAGCUCCUUCUUAUCUCAGCUCAACAGUCACUUCCUCUCCCUGACCACUCACUCUAAAGUAGCCACCACCUAACACAUCACUUUUUAUUACAUUAUUUAGUUUUCUUCAUGGCAAAAAAAAAAAAAAAGAAGAAGAAGAAGUGAUUUUAGUUUCCAUUCCAAAAGUAGGUAAAGCUACUUUUAAAAAUAUCCUCCAGCAAUUUGUGUGAAAAAGGAAAUGCUGGGCCAGUCGUGGUGGCUCACACCUGUAAUCCCAGCACUUUGGGAGGCCGAGGCAGGUGGAUCACCUGAGGUCAGGAGUUUGAGACCAGCCUGGCCUACAUGGUGAAACAUACAUGAUAAAAAUAUAAAAUUAGCCCAGUGUGGUGGCGCAUGCCUGUAAUCCCAGCACUUUGGGAGGCCGAGGUGGGUGGAUCAUGAGGUCGGGAGUUCAAGACCAGCCUGACCAACAUGGUGAAACCCCAUCUCUACUAAAAAUACAAAAAUUAGCUGGGCAUGGUGGCGCACACCUGUAUUCCCAGCUACUCAGGAGUCUGAGGCAGGAGAAUUGCUUGAACACAGGAGACAGAGGUUGCAGUGAGCCGAGAUCGCACCAAUGCACUCCAGCCUGGGCGACAGAGCAAGAUUUCAUCUCAAAAAUAACAAUAAUAAUAAUAAUAAUACCCGACCUUUAAGAGCACUUCCUGAAUUGCGCAGGUAAGUAUUACUGACUUUCUCAAAUGGCCUUUGGAGAGGUUUGAGAUUUAGUGAGAAUAAUCACAAUUUUAGUUGUAGCUCUGACUAUUCAGGUCCUUUGACUAGGUCACAUGGCCCAAAGAAUUUUGGAUCAUAUAUUCUAUGUUUCUCUGUCUCCACAAGAAGCACCAGCUCAGGGGACUCCUUUUUGUGACAGUGUUUAACCUACCAGUGUCUAUGAUUUGGAGCAAGCUUAAUGAUAAUCUAAAGGAUGAUCUGGUCCUUACUUCUUAUAGUGUAAAAGUCCUCACAUGGUUAAUUUAAGAAAUGACUCUUUUAUACAUUAAAUUUCCUUUUAAUAAAAGGAUAUAACUAAUUUUGUCUCCUUCUAAGUGAUAGCACCACUUCUGCUUCAGAAGCUAAUUAGGAGAUGCCCAGUUUGAGUUCUUUGAUACCAUUGAUGAAUGAGAAAUGUACAUGGGUAAUUUUUCUUUACUGCUAAUAGAAGUUAAACAGCACAUGUCCUGUGGAAUAAAAUUCUCUUCCCUGCAAUAAUAAUAGCUGUUUUGUUUUGACUUCAGAAAUUCUGAAAUCUGUGUGUAGCCAACAGUAAUUACUGCUCAUUACAAUAAUCACCAUCGACUUGAUCAGUCCCCUGGAACACAAGUCAGGACCUAAGGAAAUGGAUUUUUACCUAGGGUGAUGAAGAAUUUUACCUGAGGCCCAGGGCAGCCUCUCUGGGAGCCAAAUUUGGUGACUGAUACUAGAAGCUGUUAAUAUGUUGAAUUCCUAAGUCAGAAUUUUUGUUUUAAGUGUUUUCUGAGUGAAACCAUAUUCAAAGGAACCUGAAAUUUUGACCUCAUGUUAAAAAUUCUUUACAGGUUCCAUGUAUGAAAUAAUAAAAAGAGCAAGUGUGAAUAAGUGAGAAGUUUGUCAAGCAAGGAAAGUAAUAGCAGCAACCAUAUUACAGAGAUGUGGAGACCAACCUCUACUUCUUGGUUUAGGGGUUCCCUUCAAAAUAACAUGUAUGGCUAGGAGAGGGGUAGGUGUUGGAGUGAAAGCAAGCAUUGGGGGUGGCGUACAGAAUGAAAUCAUAAAGUCUCAGGAUUGACAUGGAUCUGAGGCUUAAAUCCCCUUUCCAGUAUUAGAGUGAACCUUUACUAUGUGCCAAACAUUAGGUAUAUUUAGAGUUCAGAAGCAAAGGAGUUGGCUCUGUCUUUAAGGAGUUCAUAGUUUUGACCAGACUAUCGGUUCAGAUGCAUUCUUUCAGGAAGGCAUUCAGCUACAUUCAAAUAAAAAACAAAAACGCAUUUACAGAGGCUUAACUAAAUAGAGUAAUUUUCCUCCCAAAUGUUAGGUCCAGAGGUGGGCAACUCAGAGCCAUUCAGGCUCUGGCUCCAAAUAUCUUUGUGCUCCACCAUCAUUAAUAUAUGACUUCCUUCCACAAGCUAGUCACUCAUGGGUGCCAGGUAGCAGCUCUACUCCAGCUGCAUGCCUCCUGCCAGGAAAGAAAGGAGAGAAAGAACAAAGAGGAGGGUAAGAAAGCUGCCUGAAUCAGGAAAAUAAAAUCUUUCCCAGAAAUCUCUAGCAGACAUUGAUUUCUGUCUCCUGGCCAGAAUUGUGUAGUAAGGCCACUCUAUCUGCAAAGAAUUUUGGGAAGGUAAGUACUUAAGCUAGGCAUAUUGCCACUCCAAGCAAAAAUAGAGACUCUUGUAAGAAAAAAAAAAUGGGAGAAUGGGGAUUGGUUAACAAGCAGCAUCUGCCAUAGACCAACAAGAACACUGACAAUGAAACCAUGGUAUAAUUUGUACAUAAUACAAAUUUCAUGCAGAAAAGCACAGAACUCUCUAUCUUCAGGUUAGGGGGAGGUGUCAUGGAGGGUUUCACUGAGGAGGGUAACAUUUGGCUGAGUCUCAAAGAAUGAAUUAAAUUGUCAAAGUACAAAAGAAAAAUAGUUGUUCAUCAAAAUAUUUUUAUUUGCCACUGGCAGAAAUGUAGCUUGAACCCAAAAGUACCAAGGUAAGGUUUCAAGCAUUGCUGGCUCCAGUCACCCAAUUGAUGUCACCAAGACCCAAUCUCUCUCUCUCUUUCUCUCCAUCCUUUGAUUCUAUAAUAGCCAGCAAGCAGCUCCAGAUUUACAUUACACCCUAUCAGCAGCUUUAGCAGUUCCAAUAAAGCUCUGAGUAUGCAUCUCACUGGAACAACUUGGGAUAUGUGUCCAUCACUCUGACCUAUCUCCUUGGACAGGAAAAUGAGAUAUGUUGAUUGGACAAGGCUGGGCUCCAUGUCCACCUCUGGAAUAUUAUUCAAAACACUUGAACUAAAAGCAAGAAAGAAGGUUCUCCAAAGGAAAACUGUGAAACCUUGGCUGAGUACAAGUAUAUGCUGUCCUUCCGAGGCCUUCUGCAGCAGGGAAGAUUGGCCCUGCCCCAAUUUCAGAGGAUGAAUCCUGAUUGGUCUAAGAUCACCACACUAGUCCUGUUGCCUUCACAGUGACUAGUGAAGCAUGUGCUUGUGUGAUUUUAGAAGUCAGCUGGGAAGCAACUGGGAAGAAUUUCCUUACUCAAAAAGAAGCACAAGAGAGAGGCCAUCUAGUAUUUCUUAGAGGUUAUCUUAUCUGCAUGUAGCCUGCAAUUGCUAUAACUACCUUGCCACCUUGAAGUAAGCUAGCCUGAAGAUAGCCAAUAUACUGGAUAAAACUUUUGUUUAAAGAUUUAUCUGCUUAAUAUUAUCUCUUCUGAAAGGUAGCUGUACUCCAUAAAUCAGAUUGUGAAUCAGCUUCUUGUUUGAUAAGCGAAGAUAUCAAACAUCAAAUUGGUUGUUGCAAAUCAAAUGUUCACAUCAAUAUGUUUUUUGUUCCACAUCUAAUCAGGAGUGGUGGUAAUCUGUCUAGAAUAAUUUCCAAAGCUGUGUUUAGGUGUGGAUUUAUUUAAUGCAUUUGAGAGCACAAAACUUCUCAGGGUAGAUAUGUAGAACUAAUAACAUAAUUGGAAACUUAUUAAGGAGUGACGUUUUAUUUAGAUAUUCUUUAGUCUACAGAAAAUGAGUGAAUAGAACCACAUAUUACUAAUUUAAAACAAUUAUCCAGCUAAUUUGCUUUUUUGAAUAGUGUGAGUUUAAGUUUUGAUAUUUAUUAGUGUAAUAUCCCUAUGGAACCAUUUAAUCAUAGAAGACUAAUCUUUCCCUACAACAUUCUCUCCUAAAUAAGACUUUCCUGAGAAACAAACUAGAAUAUUUUUAUUCUUGAACCGAGGACUCACUUAUCUUAUCUAGGCUGACUUACUGGAUAAGGCCAUAGCAUCAGUCUAUGUGAAUCACCCAAUUUUCAUAUUAUCCAAAGAUACAUUCUUUUCAACAGUGCAGCCUCUUCAGCAAUCAGUUCCAAAAUAUGUAGGUCAAAGGGGGAACUGAGUGAGAGGAUGCAAUGGCUUAAUUCCAUGUGUAAUCACUCACAGAAAAGUCACACACACACACACACACACACACACAGACAAAAAUGUCCUCUGACAGUUACUGGCAUCAUGUUUAGAUAUGAGAUGGUGUGCUUAGAACACGGCUUCAGAAAUCAAUACAUCAACAAUUAGCUGGGCAUGGGUCAUUGUACCUUAAAAAGAAUAACAAUGGGGUGGCAUUGCCCGAGAAGACCAACUGUCUGGUUACCUGACAGGUGGGCAUUACCUUCAUGACAUCACAGAAGUGAAAGGAAUGAUCCCUGGCUCUAUAAUUUUUUUUCUGGAGACAGAGUCUCACUUUGUCACCCAGGCUGGAGUGCAGUGGCAUAAACAUGACUCACUGCAGACUUGACCUCCUGGACUCAAGUGAUCCUCCCACCUCAGCCCCCCAAGUAGCUGGGACUACAGGUAUGAGCCACCAUGCCUGGCUAAUUUUUGUAUUUUUUGUAGAGACAGGGUUUCACGUGGCUGGCCUGGAACUCCUGGGCUCAAGCAAGCCCCUUCCACCCACUAGUUUUCCAACGUGCUGGGAUUACAAGCAUGAGCCACUAUGCCAGCCUAGAUUUAAAAAUUUGAUCUCCACAGUGCAUCAGAGUUAUCAAGAAGACUACUUCAUGAUAAACACACAGGGGACUGAUAUGUAAAUUAGAAUGCCAUUUAUUCAUUUAAAUAGGAAAUAUGACUGUGACAAAAGAAUGAUCAUUUUGGCAUGUCCCGUGGUCUUAGUUCAUUUCUGCUGCUGCAACAAAAUACCUUAGACUGGGUAGUUUACAAACAGCAGAAAUUUAUUGGUCAUAGCUCUGGAGGCUAGGCAGACCAAGAUCAAGGCACCAGCAGAUUCAGCGUCUGCUUUAUAGAUGGAGCCUCCUUGCUAUGUCCUCACAUGGCAGAAGAGGGCACACAGGCUCCCUCAAGCCUCUUUUAUAAGGGCACUAAUCCCAUUCAUAAUCCCCUCCCACAGGCCCCAACUCUUUAUAACAUCACCUUGGGGAGUUAGGUUUCAAUAUAUGAAUUUCAGGGGAAGGGGACAGAAACACUCAAACCACAGCACCUGUACGUGCCUUGUAGGUAGUUAAUAUUUAAAUCAAAUUAUAACCAGAAGAUUGCUUGGUGAGCAGUAAGAAAUUUGAAUGAAUGGAUUUAUUUUAUAUGAUUCAAAUCUUUGAUGGCCCUGGAUUUUGAUAGCCUAAUUCAGUCAUUUUCAAAAUCUAUUAUUAUUUUAUCAACAAUAGGACAUAUUUUUAGGAUAAAGUCUUACAAAGAACACAUAUACAGGUAUAUAGAUAUAAACAUAUAGAUACCUCGGCCUUCUCUCUCUCUGUUCUGAUUGAACUAAGGUAGCCUAUUCAGAUCCCCACAUGCUCAGCAACCCCAUAUACUGGAGGGAACCAGCAGAGGAUGGGGAGAGGAAUUCCAGUAAUGAGGGAACAUAUGCAGAGAUACAGAAGCAUGACAGAUGGUGGCACAUUCUGGAAACUACAAGUGGUUGGAUAAGAAUGGAAUAUAGUAUUUGUGAGGGGAUGGAGAGAGAGGAGGCGGUAAGAGGUCAGGCUGAAGAAGCAAGCAAGAAAAAAACGAUGAAGGAAAGACUUUGUAGACUUUGCUAAAUUAUUUAGAUCUUAUAUAGAAAGCUAUGGAAAGCCUUAAAAGUAUGUUCAGGGGGCCAUAGCAUGAUCAAAUUUCAGUUUUGGAAAUAUCACUAUGGCUGAAAAAUAGAAAAUUAGGUUAUCAGGAAGGGUACAAUAUAUGCAAGGAAUAUCGAAGGCCUGAAUCCCAUGUUCCUAUUGCCCCACCCUUACCGCUUUACCCCUAGGACUUCACUGCCAUAACCAGUCUUCCAGAUGCCAGCACCUGCAUUGCAUCACCUGAGAGCUAUCUCCUACUGCUGGAGCCCACUUUGUUGGCUGUGGCAGGCUUGAAGUGUCAGAGAAUGAAUGUCCCAGCAACAUCUUCUAUAUCAGUGACAAAGAGACUGGUGUAUAACUCUGGAGCAUGUGUUAGUCCCAGUUGGGAUUAAACUCCAGUGGCCCACGGUGGUAGCCAUCUUGACAACAGAACUUUUGGCUAUUUGCCCUUCCUUGUCUCACUUCCCCACUCUUCUAUCCUUGUGGUUCUCACCUCCCAAAUAAAUUAUUUGCACUCA
Molecule: long non-coding RNA, 9351 nt
Filed under: Homo sapiens (human)
Lineage: Eukaryota; Metazoa; Chordata; Mammalia; Primates; Hominidae
Description: HSALNT0063942
Source: RNAcentral